CCUACGGGUGGCUGCAGUGGGGAAUUUUGGACAAUGGGGGCAACCCUGAUCCAGCCAUGCCGCGUGCGGGAAGAAGGCCUUCGGGUUGUAAACCGCUUUUGUCAGGGAAGAAAUCUUCCGAGCUAAUACCUUGGGAGGAUGACGGUACCUGAAGAAUAAGCACCGGCUAACUACGUGCCAGCAGCCGCGGUACUACGUAGGGUACAAACGUUAAUCGGAGUUAGCGCGCGCGGAGCGUGCGCACGCGUUUGAAAUCCCCGGGCUUAACCUGGGAACUGCACUUGUGACUGUACGGCUGGAGUACGGCAGAGGGGGAUGGAAUUCCGCGUGUAGCAGUGAAAUGCGUAGAUAUGCGGAGGAACACCGAUGGCGAAGGCAGUCCCCUGGGCCUGUACUGACGCUCAUGCACGAAAGCGUGGGGAGCAAACAGGAUUAGAUACCCUGGUAGUC
This 450-nucleotide ribosomal RNA is filed under the name uncultured bacterium. Its description in RNAcentral is "partial 16S ribosomal RNA". It matches the Rfam family "Bacterial small subunit ribosomal RNA", at positions 338 to 795 of the family's 1533-position model. The record is from RNAcentral.